GCUCCCCAAGCCAACAUUCUAGCCAAAUCUCCCGUCCUACUCAAUUCCCCUCAACUUUCUCCCAAUCACAAUUUCUCCAAUCCCCACAGCUUACCCAAGCCACCACCUAAUUUCCAAACCUUCCACCCUUUUGGUCCUACAGCCAAUUAUCACCUAUAUGAUAGUUCUCCUCUAAAUUUCCAAGCAGCAAGUUGGUUAAAAUCUGCACCAAUAAGCUUUCAAGGUUUUCGUCCUCGAGAAAGUUGGGUGCACUCACCAAAUCAAGUUGUCGGAUCCAUCUCAUCUCAUGGAUCAGAAUCAGCCUCUCAGUGCCCUGCAAGACAGGAAGAGAACAAUUUGGUUAACAUCGAAGAGAUCAACCAAAAUGGCGACGGAUACUUGAAGCGGACAGCAAGAACAAGAGGACUAAGAUUUCUGAAUCAGGUGCAUAUACAUCAUCAUCCAACCAAGAAACUGAGGAGGAGACCAGACGAAAAGAGAAGCACCCUGAAAGGCAGAAAAAAGCCAAAGCCAAGUUUAAAGGGAAAGGAAAAAAAACCUGCACCAUCUCCUUUGGGGGACCAGCCAUCUCAAUAUUUUGUUCUCUUCAACAAAGCUGAAAUUGAGAGCAGAAGCGGUGCUGAAAUCUGCAGAAGCAACUACCAAAUCAGCAGAAGCAAAGAAGGAACAAACUAG
Molecule: long non-coding RNA, 675 nt
Filed under: Oryza sativa Indica Group (long-grained rice)
Lineage: Eukaryota; Viridiplantae; Streptophyta; Magnoliopsida; Poales; Poaceae
Description: lncRNA OsLima_08g0012020
Source: RNAcentral